UUCAACUAUCAUAAUUCAACAUAAUGUUAUUAACAUUUUUCAAUUCUAUUAUUUAACAUACAAGAAUUAAUGAUUGAUGAUGUUGUAGCAAAAUUUUUUGACGUGGACAUUUAUAACUGGACAGUUUCUCUAACUACUAUAAACAAUAUUAUUUACUAAUGUUCGAACAAUGACGAUUCGUUACUUCGAUUUUAAUAAAAUUAAAAUUUGGGUUUUUCUAUUAAUUUUUCAAAUUAAUACAUUGACAAUAACAUCAAAAUUAGUUCCAAUUCAGAAAUGUGAUCCGACAGAAUGGCGUGAACAUGGAGUGGCAGGUAAGUUUUAAAAAAAACUAUAGUUAUUUAAUCAUUCGAUUAGGAGAAAAUUGCGAUAUUUUAACAUUAUUUUUUCCUAAUUUUCAAUUUCCGUAGAUAUUGGCAGUAAUUAAUUACUGUUAAUUUAAAAUAUUUAUGUAUGGUCAUUAUUAAAAUUUAAUUUUUUUGUCUUUGAAUACUGAAACGGCAUACGUAAAACUGGGGGUUGUACCGUUACAAGUAGCCAACAAGAACAAGAACAUUAUCGCGAUAUACUAGCUAUCACUGGUAACAUUUGCAUGUGAACGAGAUGAUAAUUUACAUUCCAAAAACGAGCGUGGUGAAUUACUUGAUUCAAUCUGUUUCGAUCCCGUUUCAGUUGAAGAUGGAUAUGUUGCAACUGGCGCGAGAUUUAAAAGACACGGUAACAUAAUAUACCUUGAACUCCAACAAGGAAUAUUAUCACAAGGAAAAAUUGAUCCAACAACGCUCAAGUGGACGACUUCAAAUAAUUGUAACUUAAAAAGAAAGUUAUUGAUAAUGUCCAAUAUAAUGGUAGAUACGAUGGUUUAAAUAUCAUACUAAACGAUCUUACUUUAUUAGAGAAUGCAGUCGUCACAGGUGUUACGUUUAAUGAUUCAUUGCGCGGACGAUAUGUCGAUGACGAUGGUAAUAUUAAAGAAAAUGAAUCCGAAAUUACACAAAAAAUUCGAUGCCAUCGAAGUGCCACCGAUUUGGUACAUCGUGGUCCAGAUCUUCUGCCGUCCACAGCUUUAAUAGGGAAUAAUUACGAACGCGGUGAAUCAUGCAAUUAUAAGAUCGUUUUUAGUGGAACUAAAGAGAGUUCUGAUAAUAUACAACAUGUACACUGAAAGAAAUUUUCUUUAAAAAUUACCGUUAUAUUCACGGUAAUCGUGGGACGAAUGGCACGACCUAAUCAUUGGUCAGUAAGUGUGAUAAUUUUUAACUUUUUUUCAACAAGUUUUACCGUAGUCUACUGUAAAUUUUAUUCGGUUUUCGGUAAAUUUUAUAAAAUCUACCACAACAUAAAUAAAUUUCUUCGUAAUUUUUAUUUCAAAAAUGGUAAUAACUAAAAGUGCCGCAUUAUGUCCAACAAAUACAGUGAAUUCAACGGUAAUUUUUAAAGUAUAUUUCUUUCCGUGUAGUUCCGUUAGGGGUGUGGUGCAUCCCUCCAGAGAAUUUCUCUACAUUAUAAAAUCUCUCAAAGUUUUUCCCUACACGAGUCAACUCUACAGACAAAUUUUUACAUCGCAAUAACUCUACAAACGAUUAUUUUCACAUCGAUCCAUCUCUACAUGAGAACAUCUCUCAUAUUGAAAAUCUCUACAGCGAUUCAACUCUACAGCGAUUCAACUCUACAGAGAUUAUUUUUACAUGCCGCUGAGUUCAAACAGUAGAAUUUUUGUUAUGACAUUUCAUUAAUAAAGUAGGUUAAUUAUAUAAAAGAAAGAAUGAAUGAAAUUAAAAUAAAAUUAUUAAUAUGCAGAGUGAUUGCAACUUCGAGAACUUUUUUAAGCUUUGCAUAAAUGACUAAUUAGUA
This is a long non-coding RNA of Microplitis mediator, 1854 nucleotides long. RefSeq lists it as uncharacterized. NCBI's taxonomy places the organism in Eukaryota, Metazoa, Arthropoda, Insecta, Hymenoptera, Braconidae. The record is from RefSeq and is a predicted model, not a curated record. The transcript is spliced from 4 exons.